AAUUGGCGGCUUUUAAAAUAUUUUAGAGAGAUUUAUUCUUUAAAGGAUAUAACCCCAAAAUCUUACCUAAGUAAGUAAUUUUUCAGUUUGUAUACCUCUAUUUAGAAAUUUAAAAAUAAAUUUUAAUUUAAUUAAUUAAAAAAAAAUAUUUUAGGGAAAAGUGCAGCUUAUGCUUUGGUUUGAAAUAAAUUUUAUUAGUUUUUACUAAACAAAAUUAAUUUGGUAAAUCCUGAUUAAGAAAAAUUUAAAAGUAAAAUUGACAUAG
This 265-nucleotide ribosomal RNA is filed under the name Neoseiulus cucumeris. RNAcentral describes it as "partial 12S ribosomal RNA". Lineage: Eukaryota; Metazoa; Arthropoda; Arachnida; Mesostigmata; Phytoseiidae. The record is from RNAcentral.